GUGCGAACGUUCACCGCGGGAAGAGGUAUGAGACGACAGCUGGCAUGGCAUCCAGACGGUAAUCUGGUGGCUUUAGCAUUAAGUUGUAACCGCUUUAAGAUAUUUGACAUAGUUGAAGGCGAGCUAAUACAGUGCAUUCGUCGCCGGAGAAUGAUGUUGCAUUUCACCCAAGUGGAAAUUUCUUGGUGACUGGCGGCGAUGACGAUACAAUAAGAUUGCUUGAUUUAUUAGAAGUUGCUCGUUUGGAAAUCGAAUUUGCAUACAUUUGAUGCCAAUAGCUCUCGCAACAAACAAGCCAGUUCUCAAAGAGUCCAAAUUGAUUUUAGUCAUGCAACAGCUCCACAUAACUCCGCCAUAGACACACACACCAGUUGCUGCAGUACCAAAAAGCUGUGAUGACAGUAUUUUAAUUGAUCCACGACAAUCGGUGGCAUAUGGAAUGCGUGAUGGAAAUUUUCUGGUGCUUGAUAGCCAAUAAACUACAAGAGUGAAACGCUACAAGUGAAACGCUGUGAUGUAAUUUUUCUUAAAUUUCCAUCUUUUAUUUGCAUUUACAUUAAGAAGCUCAUAGAGGACAGAGCUGUUGGUGAGGAAGGUGUCGAGUUACUGCAGUACUGCAACUGUGAAAAUCCGCAUUUCGCACGUGCCCCACUCAUAUGGAAUAGCAGCUUAUGUCAAAAGGCUGGAUUUAGUAUAAUGCGGCAUUCGCAGCAUACCCUCACUGGCGCCGAGCCGUUGAAGAAAUUUUGG
This is a long non-coding RNA of Rhagoletis zephyria (snowberry fruit fly), 750 nucleotides long. RefSeq lists it as uncharacterized. The record is from RefSeq and is a predicted model, not a curated record. NCBI's taxonomy places the organism in Eukaryota, Metazoa, Arthropoda, Insecta, Diptera, Tephritidae.